AGCCGUCAGACAGCGUUACAGCACGCACGGAGAUGAGAAGGAUGAAUCCGUUCCACAAGCAAGAAAGCAUUCCAGGACGGAGUGUGUGUCUGGAAGCCCUGUCUGUCAGUAGACCUCACUUCCUCCACCACCUGCAUAUGAGUCAACACCACACAGGAAACCAGCCGGUCGCCCAGAGCUGAAUGGGUGUAUUCUAACGCAAGCUCGGCCUGCCACUUCAUCUUGGGACCCAGUUGAAGCAACUUUUCCUAACAAGCCCGGAGGUUCGACCGGAGGUACGGCCAUCCGUCGCAUGCUACGGCGAGUGGCAACCAAUGAUGUUCUAAAACUGUAUAUCCUGCGGGGCAGAAAGGGAAAGAAAGCCUUCCAGGACCUGACUAUCUGCAGGGUUA
Molecule: long non-coding RNA, 392 nt
Organism: Perca flavescens (yellow perch)
Lineage: Eukaryota; Metazoa; Chordata; Actinopteri; Perciformes; Percidae
Exons: 5
Source: RefSeq, a predicted model, not a curated record